CCGCGCGAAGAAAAAAUCACUAUGAAAUAUCUUGGCCUCGUAUGCGACGAACGAAGAGGUCCGCCAGCCGUGCCUGACCUUGCCCGGUCCUCCGCGCUGCGACGACGAGGAGAUCCAGCGGCCGCUCUUGGCCUCCGCGGACCUCCGCAUGAAUCUCCGUCGAGCUCCGUCGAGCUCCGUCGGCCCAGCCUAGCCCCCGCAUCGCGGAGCUCCGUCCGCCGUGGCUCUCCUCGCGUGCCUGCCCUGGGCCUCCGCCGCGGCCAGCGCGAACUUCGCCUGCCGCUUGCUUGCUGUAGCCACCUCGCUUUGCUGCUCAAUUGUUUGCUUCGGCGGCCCGCGCGCGUUGCUAGCUAGAUCAAUUGACUGCAGCGGCCCCGAUUGCAUUGCUAGCUAAAUCGAUUGGGUCGGCCACCCGCGCGCAUGGAAUGGCCGCGGGCGCAUGAAAUAGACUAGCUUGCUCUCUUUUAUUUGUGGUAUGUUUAGAGUUGUAAAUUUUAGUUGAUUUUUUCAGAUUUAAUUGUGGCAUGUUUGAUCUUGUUUGAUGUAUGAAACUUGUUUGUGGAGCUCUAUUUUACAGCCUCUGCCGAAGGGUUGUAUUUAGCUUUUCUGGUUGCGCUGUAAAAUAGAGCCUCCGGCGAAGCUCGCGCCGGUGUCACACCCUAUAUCCGGAUCGAGCGCGCUGCAAACGACUUUUACAGCGCCAAAUUUUAGAGCCUCUGUUGGAUAUGCUCUGAGGAGGUGGCCAAAGUUUCAGAUCUCGAAUAAAAAUAAAUUCCCGGUUACCACAGGAUUUUGAAUUUAAAUUUUCUUAGAAUUUAUUAAUUACAAUUGAAGCUGCAAUUUGACACUACAGAGUUAGUACCGCAAUGGUAUUGAUUUAGCAUAGCGAGGAAGAGUUGUGAUAUUGCUAGUUUGAUUCUGUCCUGACACAUCUUUUUGCAUUAUGUUGUUUAAUCCUCACGAUGUUCGACAUUUCGAGAAACCCGGGGACCUCUAUCACGAGAGCAAGAAUGGAGGGCAGUUAGGCCAGUAGGUUUUGCGGAAACUAGAUGAAUACCCCGCGCGUUGCUGCGGAAUAUUUUCCGGCAAACAUUUUUUGAUGCAUGAAAAACAAUUAAUUAAAAAUAAUGAAGAAAAUCUGAAUCGGCUGUUUUCUGAAUGAUGAUUUGCAUAUCUGCAGCAGCUACAGUUCACAUGGAACCUUUCAAUUAGCUAUAAUGGGUGUAUCAUAGGACAUGCUUCAUUUACGAAGGUUUAAUCUCCUGUACUUUUUUUUCCGUAGGAACACAGAGCCGGACGAAUGCCCAACUAAUAGAGUUGUUCUCAAUGCUCUUCAUUGAAAACUGCAGCAUCUCCCUGUCGUCUAGGAACCAUCCAUUUUGACCGAUCGAGCGGAUCAUGUGCGCUCGUACUCCACUAGCAACCCGGAGAGUACAAACUCAAAAUCGGAUGGAAACUGGCGGAGUACCUCCACGGGAGGAGCAAAAAGUAAUUACUUCUCAUUAUCUCCCCCCAGUUCGCGGACGAACCCUAGCAGAGCGCAUCUUGGCGGCGGCGGGUAAAAUGGAGGAGGAGCAGACCGGGGAAGGGGACCAGGCGCCGUGUGGCCGUGGUUUCCAGCCACCCGACGGGUGGGCGCUGACGGAUGGGCGCUAGCAAUGGAGGAGCCGACCGGGGAGGGGGACGAGGCGCCAGCGCAGCUGUGGCAUCCAGCCCCCCGACGGAUGGACAAUUGGACACCAGUGGUAGUUGGCUCGCGGCGGCAAGAUGGGGGAAGGGAGGAGCGGCCGUGGUGGCCAGGUGGUUGGCUCCCUCGACAGAUGCGCGCAGACGGGUGCAGGAGUGGUGGUGGUUGGCUCGCUGCGGUGGCUUGGUGGGGGAAACAGCCAUGGCGGUCAGGUGGUCGGCUCCCUCUACUGAUGCGCGUUCCUGCAGGACCAGAACCGUGAUGAACAUCGAGGAGUUCAGCAUGUGAGGAACAUCCCUAUUAUUUUUGCAUGAAAUGGAUUGCUACCUGAAAGUUUCUUAGCUAGGGAUUGUGGCGAUGGCUUUUUUGCUGCAGGGGUUCAUUGCAGUGAUGCCUUUUUGUUUCUUCGGACAUUGCUUUUUCCGUGGAGGGUAUGUCAGGAUACUGACGACAGUGUAGCAAGGAUGUUCUAUUCUUCAGUUAUCCGACGGCUCAGGAGAACAAGACUAACAGUGGAGAUUAGCCCAUGGCGUCGUACUCACUUUGCCGUUUUCGGAAAGUACUGUUGCCUCUUAAUUAAGUGUCGUUAGGUGGUAUAAAGUCCAGCUGCGUCUGGCGUCUUGUUCAUCUUGUUCUCAUUUGCCUUGAGCAAAAUAUACCUAAGAAUAUACUCUAUACCUAAAACCCUAAGUUGGGGUAUCUGAAGGAGGGGUCUCCCUCCUCAGAACUACUUUAUUGUUUGAGCAAAUUCGAGUGAUUUCGUGAAUUCUUGUCAUGUAUGCUGUGGUGAUC
Long non-coding RNA from Lolium perenne, 2479 nucleotides. RefSeq lists it as uncharacterized. The record is from RefSeq and is a predicted model, not a curated record. NCBI's taxonomy places the organism in Eukaryota, Viridiplantae, Streptophyta, Magnoliopsida, Poales, Poaceae.